AGAAUGGUACUCAAAAAUUGACUUCCUUUCGAUGCUGAUUGAACCUUCCUGCUCAUGCUCCUGAUUCGCAGUUUCCCACUCUUCUCGCCGACCACCGGAGGACGCUUUCACGUCGCCGUUUUCAUCUCCGACUUGACCUCAGUUUCUUCAAUUCCACGAGUAAUUCAAACAAAUUUGAUUUAAUUUAGGGAUGGGGGCGGAGGUGAAGCACCGAUGGUUGGAUUCUGUAAUGGAGUUGACCAAGUCCGCGCAGGAGAGGGGCGCUGACCCCCUCAUGUGGUCGAUAGAGCUCUCCUCCAACCUCUCCGCCGCCGGAGUUUCCAUGCCCUCCGUCGAGCUGGCGGAGGCUCUCGUUUCUCACAUCUGCUGGUCGAAUAAUACUCCCGUUGCCUGGAAGUUUUUGGACAAGGCGUUCGCCAUUCGAAUUGUUCCACCUAUGCUCGUCCUCGCCCUUCUCUCUCACAGGGUAAUACCGAUGCGGAGGAAGUACCCUUCUGCCUAUAGACUGUACAUGGAGCUUCUUAAAAGAUAUGCUUUCUCACUGCCAUCUCUGAUCAACGGUCCCAACUAUCAGAGGAUAAUGGAGUCUAUUAAUGAUGUGCUCCAGCUAUAUAAGAUAUACGGGAUGCAUUCCUCUGAACCAGGGAUCAUUGUUGUUGAAUUUAUAUUUUCAAUUGUGUGGGAGUUGCUUGAUGCAUCACUUGACGAUGAAGCUCUGUUAGAACUCACUCCUGAGAAGAAAUCAAGGUGGCCAGUCAGGAGUCAAGACAUGGAAGUUGACUCUCUUGAUAAUUUUGAAGGAAAAAUAAUGGAGUAUCAGGUGGCAUUGAGUAAGAAAAAUACUGUUAUGGCUACUGAAAUAAUUGGUGAAUUUUUUCAAAACAAAAUGACUUCCCGGAUCCUCUACUUGGCCCGCCGGAACAUGCCAAAGGACUGGGAAUGCUUCACUCAGAAUUUGAGAUUGCUUGCAACAAAUUCAUCAUCCUUAAGGAACUCAAAAUAUAUAUCUCCGGAGGCACUCUUGAAAUUAGCGUCUGAUACUCGCCAAGUGCUGUCACAUGAAUGCAAAACAAACUCAAAACAAUUUCAUGUUGUAAUAGCUAAAUCUCCCUCGGAAUAUGUUGGUAGUUAUCGUUGUAAUGUUCAAUCAACCCUUUGGAUCCCCAUAGAGCUUUAUUUAGAAGAUGCAAUGGAUGGAUGCUAUAUUAGGGCCAGUAGUGCUGCUGAAACUCUUACAGGUUUGGUGAAGGCUCUCAAGGCUCUAAAUCAGACCACUUGGCUGGAUACAUUCCUUGGUUUGUGGACUGCCGCUUUACGUGUUGUUCAGAGAGAGAGAAAUUCAAGUGAUGGUCCUGUUCCUCUCCUUGACACUUGUUUAUGCAUGUUAUUGUCCACCACAACACUUGCAAUUGUGAAUAUUAUUGAAGAAGAAGAGAUUAAAUUGGUUAGUGAAGCUGAACAAAAUUCUAUCAGUCAAAGAAAAGAUAUCCAGCCGCAGGGAAAGCGCCGUCAGGACUUAGUGUGCAGCCUGCAGUGGUUGGGUGACUUUGAAGGCUUGUUGGAUCCACCACCACCUGUAAGUUCAUUGGCUAAUCAAGCUGCUGCAAAAGCAAUGUUGUUCCUUUCAGGCGUAACAGUUAGCGGUGGGCACCUAGAUGGCAUGAGCUUGAAUGACAUGCCCUUGAAUUGUUCUGGGAACCUUCGCCAUCUAAUUGUUGAGGCCUGCAUAGCCAGAAACAUUUUGGACACAUCAGCCUAUUUGUGGCCUGGAUAUGUCAAAGGCCGCUGUAGCCAGAUUCCUCGAAGCACUCCUGGCCAAGUGCUCGGUUGGUCAUCAUUAUUGAAAGGGGUACCUUUAACUCCUCCCAUGGUCAGUGCAUUGGUGUCAACUCCAGCUACUUGCUUGGCAGAGAUAGAGAGGCUGUAUGAGAUUGCUGUCAGUGGUACAGAUGAUGAGAAGGUUUCUGCUGCUACAAUAUUCUGUGGAGCUUCUCUUUGCCGUGGUUGGAAUAUACAGGAACAUACAAGCCUUUUGAUCACAAGAUUGCUUUCACCAGCUGUUCCUAAAGAUUUUUCUGGAAGUGAGAGCCAUUUGAUAGGCUAUGCUCCACUUCUGAAUAUUCUUCUGGUCGGAAUAUCGUCAAUUGAUUGCGUACAAAUAUUUUCUUUGCACGGAUUGGUUCCUGAUCUCGCAGCUGCACUGAUGCCAAUUUGUGAAGUUUUCGGUUCCUGCACGCCGAAUAUGUCGUGGAAAGUUAGUCCAACAGACGAAAUUUCUUCUCACGACGUAUUUUCAAAUGCAUUCACUCUAUUGCUGAAGCUCUGGAAAUUUAAUCAACCACCUUUGGAGAAUAUAAUGGGGGAGGUGACUCCAGUCGGGUCCCAUAUAACACCUGAGUACCUCUUACUGGUGCACAACUCCAAUUUAGCACUGCACGAAAACCCUCCGAAAAAUCAGCUUCGAAUCAACCGGCCAUCGAGAUAUUCAAAUCCCUCUUGUAGGGAUCCUAUAUUCAUGGAUUCCUUUCCAAACCUCAAGCGUUGGUACAGGAAGCAUCAAGAAUGUAUUGCUUGUGUUCUUUCUAGUCUGGUUCCCGGGAAUCCUGUUCAUCAUAUUGUCGAGGCGCUCCUGAAUAAGAUGUUCCGAAAAAUCAACAGAGGAGGUCCUACUCCUACCUUGUCUGCUACAACUUCCGGAAGCAGCAGCUCGUCUGCAUCAGGAAUAGACGAUUAUUCUCUCGGCCUUAAGAUACCCGCAUGGGAUAUCCUCGAGGCUGUUCCCUUUGUUCUUGAUGCCGCCCUUACUGCGUGUGCUCAUGGGAAAGUGUCGCCGCGGGAACUGACCACGGGGCUCAAAGAUCUUGCCGAUUUUCUCCCCGGUUCGUUGGGAACUAUAGUCAGUUACUUUUCAGCUGAGGUGACUCGUGGGCUUUGGAAGCCUGCUUACAUGAAUGGAACCGACUGGCCGAGCCCGGCUGCAAACUUGUCGAGCGUUGAACAGCAGAUUAAGAAAAUCUUAGCUGCUACUGGUGUUAAUGUCCCGUGUCUUGCUGCAGGGGGAAAUUCUCCAUUGGUACUUCCAUUACCCUUGGCAGCUCUUCUCAGUCUCACAAUAACAUACAAACUCGACAGAGGCUCCGAUCGAUAUCUAAACUUGAUCGGUCCCGUUUUGAUCAACCUCGGGAUUAGUUGCCCCUGGCCGUGCAUGCCGAUAAUAGGCGCUCUGUGGGCGCAAAAGGCUAAACGAUGGAACGACUUUCUUGUGUUCUCCGCAGCCCAGACUGUGUUCCACCACAAUAACGACGCGUUAGUUCAGCUCAUCCGCGUCUCCUUUACGACGCUCCUCGGUUUGAAUUCCUCCUCCGUCGCUAGCAACGGCGGGGUCGGACCUCUCCUCGGCCACGGCUUUGGUUCUCACUUUUCCGGUGGCAUUUCCGCCGUCGCCCCCGGCAUCCUAUACUUGAGGAUUCAUCGAGCGGUCCGGAACGCCGUAUUUUUAACUGAAGAAAUCGUCUCUGUUCUUAUGGACACUGUGAAAGACAUUGCGAAUUGCGGGCUGCCGGUCGAGAAAUUGGAGAAACUCGGCAAGACAAAGUUUAGGAUGAAGUACGGCCAGGUUUCUCUCUCCGACUCAAUGACUCGAGUCAAGGUUGCGGCGUCAUUAGGCGCUUCGCUCGUCUGGCUCACCGGAGGUUUGGUUUCGGUACAGUCACUAAUCAAAGAAAUACUCCCGUCGUGGUUCAUAUCCUUCCACGCCUCGGAUUUAAAAUACGGCUCCUCCUCCUCGUCGUCGGGAGGGAUUGUGGCGAUGCUCGGAGGAUACGCGCUCGCCUACUUCACGGUGAUCUCGGGAAUAUACGCGUGGGGGUUGGACUCGGAAUCGCCGGCGUCGAAACGGCGGCCGGGUUUUCUUGGGAAGCAUUUGGAGUUUCUGGGUAGCGCGAUGGACGGGAAGAUAUCGUUGGGGUGUGAUAAGGGUACUUGGCGGGCUUAUGUGACUGGGUUUUUUAGCUUGAUGGUGAGCUGCACGCCGGCGUGGAUGGUGGAGGUUAAUGUGGAGGUGGUGAAAAGAGUUAGCAGAGGGCUGAAGCGAUGGAAUGAGGAGGAACUUGCUCUUGCUGUUCUUGGAGUCAGCGGGAUUGGCGCCAUGGGAGCUGCUGCUGAAAUGAUCAUUGAUGCAGGGGUUUUGCGGCAAAACCCAGAGAAGGAGGAGGGGAGAAAGGAUGGAGGUGCAAGUGGCGCUCCAUCUCCACCUGCUAACGUGCGCCUCACUUCCGCCGCCGGUGAAUUCUCCUUCCGUCGCUGCAUUUAAUAAAUCCAGAGCUUUUCGAGCAAAGCGUUCUAUCAGAACUUCUUGUAGAAGCAAGAAGAUUGAGGAUAAAGACUUGUAUGGACUUCCGAAAGAGUACUACGACGAUGAAUGGCAAGCUAAGCAGAGGGAAAAGACAAAGGAGCUCCGUAGGAAGCAAAAAGAGGAGGAAGAGGAAGAGGAAAGGAAG
This is an RNA transcript of Andrographis paniculata, 4499 nucleotides long. It is a transcript of the gene named mediator of RNA polymerase II transcription subunit 33A-like, with no coding region annotated. Lineage: Eukaryota; Viridiplantae; Streptophyta; Magnoliopsida; Lamiales; Acanthaceae. The record is from RefSeq and is a predicted model, not a curated record. The transcript has 15 exons.